GCCCUUGCAAGCCUUUACGUCCUGCCAAAUACGCAUCCCUUAAUUUCAAAGCUGCCAAAGGAGAAAGCAUAUGGAAGGAACCUGCAUGAGAGCUCAACAUUGAACCAACACAAUGAAAGAAGACCCAGAGUGGAAGACAGAGAAGGUCUACAGAUCUUAAAGUCUGUGAAGACUAAAGGCACUGUAAUGCACACCUUGUUUGUUCACAUGACACUCUUAGACCCAACUUAAUCCCACUGACUUCCACCAAAAUAAGCAGCCAAGAAACUGAAAACAGGACCCAAAAGCAGCCAAGUCAUGUUCCAAGAGUGGUUAUUAACAUCCCAUCUGUCCCUGACUCCCUUUGCCAAGAGUGAGUGUGCCACUCAUGGCCAAAGAUGGGAGACGAGGAGAAACCCAGUGGGUUCCAUUUCCUUCUUUGUUGAUCAUACCCAAUAAAUAAGCCUCUCUUCCAUUUUUUAAGGACAUGACGUUAAAAGUAUAAAGUUUCAUGAAAAUGAGAGAAAGAAUUCAGGAAGUUUUGCAUAUGCUAAUUUAAGAAGAAUUUCUGCAACUCUGGCCUUGAUGGGACUACAGUAUCAGCCAUUUCACUUCCAUGUGUCCCAGGAGAUAACAAUAGGAACAAGUCUAUAUACCAUGUCUGAGUAGAGAUUCUUUUUAAAAAUAGUCCUGUGCCCAAGUGAAUUUUUAAGACAUGGAUUAAAGGAGGAAAAUAAAACACAAGGCAAAACAGGAGAGGAAAGUGUACCACCUGGAACUGUGUCAUAAAAUAUCAAUGAUUCAGCUGGCGUAGCUACCCUGCCAACAACGAUGCCUUUAAAAAUGCUUGGAAUGUAAUUUGUGUUUAAUUUUAAAUACAACUGAUUAGAAGUGUAUGUAUAUUUUAUUUACCAACAAGGCCAAAUUGCUCACUAGUGUGAGCUGUGUUUCUGCCCAAGCUGUGCAGGUGCCAAAAUCUAUAUUAAAAAAGGUCCGUAAUUCAGAAGGGAACAUGGGAAUUUUCCAUUUGACAGCUCUCAUCUUGGUUAAUUAGAUGGCAUUAAGAAGAAAAAGGUUGGCUAUGUUAUCUAGAAGAAAGUAUUAUUAGAGAUGGCAUUAUAUCCUAAAAACAUUUAAUACCCUGUGUUCUGGUCUCUAACAUGCCAUCUGGAGCAGUUACUUGGGGAAAAUUAUAGCAAAUUGAUAGAAAUAUACAAAAUUGCCUCACUUAAUUCCUUAAUGAAUAUAAAAGUUCUCUUGAUGAAAAAUAGCAUUUCAAGUGUCAUUUGUGAAUCAUGAUUUGAGGACAACAAUUAUAGAUGAUAGUCACAAGAUGUUUCUUUCAUUAGAAUCACUAUCACAUCUGUACUAUUAGAAGUCAAGUAACUUCUCAAAGACCCAUUUUUUUUUUCUUUUUCUUUUUUGUAAAACAGGGAUAACAACUUUUAAAUAAAAAACAGCUAAAAAAGUCUUUGGAGAGGAAGAAUUAAAAACUUACACACCUAUUAGAAUGAUCAAAAUCCAGAACACUGACAACAUCAAA
This is a non-coding RNA of Microcebus murinus (gray mouse lemur), 1522 nucleotides long. The record is from RefSeq and is a predicted model, not a curated record. NCBI's taxonomy places the organism in Eukaryota, Metazoa, Chordata, Mammalia, Primates, Cheirogaleidae.